CCUACGGGAGGCAGCAGUGAGGAAUAUUGGUCAAUGGACGAGAGUCUGAACCAGCCAAGUAGCGUGAAGGAUGACUGCCCUAUGGGUUGUAAACUUCUUUUAUAUGGGAAUAAAAUGUUCCACGUGUGGGAUUUUGUAUGUACCAUAUGAAUAAGGAUCGGCUAACUCCGUGCCAGCAGCCGCGGUAAUACGGAGGAUCCGAGCGUUAUCCGGAUUUAUUGGGUUUAAAUGGAGCGUAGGUGGAUUGUUAAGUCAGUUGUGAAAGUUUGCGGCUCAACCGUAAAAUUGCAGUUGAAACUGGCAGUCUUGAGUACAGUAGAGGUGGGCGGAAUUCGUGGUGUAGCGGUGAAAUGCUUAGAUAGCACGAAGAACUCCGAUUGCGAAGGCAGUUCACUGGACUGCAACUGACACUGAGGCUCGAAAGUGUGGGUAUCAAACAGGAUCAGAUACCCGGGUAGUC
This 460-nucleotide ribosomal RNA is filed under the name uncultured bacterium. RNAcentral's name for it is "partial 16S ribosomal RNA". It matches the Rfam family "Bacterial small subunit ribosomal RNA", at positions 338 to 795 of the family's 1533-position model. The record is from RNAcentral.